CCUACGGGUGGCAGCAGUGAGGAAUAUUGGUCCAUGGACGAGAGUCUGAACCAGCCAAGCAGCGUGAAGGAUGACUGCCCUAUGGGUUGUAAACUUCUUUUAUAUGGGAAUAAAAUGUUCCACGUGUGGGAUUUUGUAUGUACCAUAUGAAUAAGGAUCGGCUAACUCCGUUCCAGCAGCCGCGGUAAUACGGAGGAUCCGAGCGUUAUCCUGAUUUAUUGGGUUUAAAGGGAGCGUAGGUGGAUUGUUAAGUCAGUUGUGAAAGUUUGCGGCUCAACCGUACAAUUGCAGUUGAAACUGGCAGUCUUGAGUACAGUAGAGGUGGGCGGAAUUCGUGGUGUAGCGGUGAAAUGCUUAGAUAUCACGAAGAACUCCGAUGGCGAAGGCAGUUCACUGGACUGCAACUGACACUGAGGCUCGAAAGUGUGGGUAUCAAACAGGAUUAGAUACCCGAGUAGUC
RNAcentral lists this ribosomal RNA (460 nucleotides) under uncultured bacterium. RNAcentral describes it as "partial 16S ribosomal RNA". It matches the Rfam family "Bacterial small subunit ribosomal RNA", at positions 338 to 795 of the family's 1533-position model. The record is from RNAcentral.